GGCUUGAUAGCACAACUGGAUAGUGCAUCUGCAGUAGAUACGCCUUUCCGAUUACACUUUCCGCAGAAGAUCCCUGUUCAACUCAGGGUCAGGCCG
Non-coding RNA from Mycena latifolia, 96 nucleotides. The record is from the annotation of a GenBank genome assembly. NCBI's taxonomy places the organism in Eukaryota, Fungi, Basidiomycota, Agaricomycetes, Agaricales, Mycenaceae.